UCCUGAAGACUUGCAUCUCCAAUCUACGAUGGCUCGGACAAGACGAUCCCCAGGACCCAAUUUAUAGGCAACAUUAUGCGAGAGAGCACAUGUAUGCACAGAGCUAUAUAUAUAUAUAUAUAUAUAUUACAUCACCAGCCUUUUUCAGUCUGUCUGUCAAGGAUUUUCCAUGACUGGUUUACAUAUUUUCCUCUGCCGACGGCCCAAUGACAGAUCCACACUCCAUUCCAAAUAGAACUAUUUCGCUCUGAACGCCCUGAUAACGCCCUGAUAAUGCCGCAAAUAACCUUCACGCAUGGAGAUCUCCAUCAGAGUCGGAACCACGGCGGAUUGUUGCAAUAGCUGAACUGGGAACAGUUAGGCUGGAGUGCCAGGAUACUGGGAGGCUCGAAAAGCGCACUUCACUUCAGCAUGGAAGAGUGAAUGAUACUGCAGCAGCAGCAGCAGCAGCAGCAGCAGCAUGAGAGCACGGCGGAGGCGGAGGCCUGGUUGUGGUAAAGUUAUACAUCCUCAAUGGGACCCUUAAG
RNAcentral lists this small RNA (527 nucleotides) under Histoplasma ohiense. RNAcentral's name for it is "hypothetical lncRNA". The record is from RNAcentral. Lineage: Eukaryota; Fungi; Ascomycota; Eurotiomycetes; Onygenales; Ajellomycetaceae.